RNAcentral lists this ribosomal RNA (476 nucleotides) under uncultured organism. RNAcentral's name for it is "partial 16S ribosomal RNA". It matches the Rfam family "Bacterial small subunit ribosomal RNA", at positions 331 to 798 of the family's 1533-position model. The record is from RNAcentral.
GUACACUCCUACGGGAGGCAGCAGUGGGGAAUAUUGCACAAUGGGCGCAAGCCUGAUGCAGCCAUGCCGCGUGUAUGAAGAAGGCCUUCGGGUUGUAAAGUACUUUCAGCGGGGAGGAAGGCGAUAAGGUUAAUAACCUUGUCGAUUGACGUUACCCGCAGAAGAAGCAACGGCUAACUCCGUGCCAGCAGCCGCGGUAAUACGGAGGGUGCAAGCGUUAAUCGGAAUUACUGGGCGUAAAGCGCACGCAGGCGGUCUGUCAAGUCGGAUGUGAAAUCCCCGGGCUCAACCUGGGAACUGCAUUCGAAACUGGCAGGCUAGAGUCUUGUAGAGGGGGGUAGAAUUCCAGGUGUAGCGGUGAAAUGCGUAGAGAUCUGGAGGAAUACCGGUGGCGAAGGCGGCCCCCUGGACAAAGACUGACGCUCAGGUGCGAAAGCGUGGGGAGCAAACAGGAUUAGAUACCCCGGUAGUCCCAU